RNAcentral lists this non-coding RNA (253 nucleotides) under uncultured bacterium. RNAcentral's name for it is "partial 16S ribosomal RNA". It matches the Rfam family "Bacterial small subunit ribosomal RNA", at positions 524 to 776 of the family's 1533-position model. RNAcentral also lists the same sequence under 1 other name. The record is from RNAcentral.
UACGAAGGGGGCUAGCGUUGUUCGGAAUUACUGGGCGUAAAGGGCGCGUAGGCGGCGAUACAAGUUAGGCGUGAAAGCCCUGGGCUCAACCCGGGAAUUGCGCUUGAUACUGUAUUGCUUGAGUUCGGGAGAGGUGAGUGGAAUUCCCAGUGUAGAGGUGAAAUUCGUAGAUAUUGGGAAGAACACCGGUGGCGAAGGCGGCUCACUGGACCGACACUGACGCUGAGGCGCGAAAGCGUGGGGAGCAAACAGG